RNAcentral lists this long non-coding RNA (1007 nucleotides) under Cyclopterus lumpus (lumpfish). RNAcentral describes it as "lncRNA (ENSCLMG00005015298.1)". Lineage: Eukaryota; Metazoa; Chordata; Actinopteri; Perciformes; Cyclopteridae. The record is from RNAcentral.
CUCCCUUGUUUUGACUGGCAGGUCGAUGGGGGCGGGGCUUGCACUGUCGCCUGAGGACCAAGGAGGGGGCGGUGACAGCCAGAGAAGGAAGAAGAGGCUGUCCAGUCGAGGCUUUGAGCGGCUCAGCAGCACACAGAUAAAAGCACAGGGCUGCAGAAAAAGCGGUCUUCACGGCAUGCUCAGCUCCAAGCUGGCCGGCGAUGUGACUCAGCUCAAACAGAAAGCCCAGUGUAAAAAGAUUCUCUCGGGGUCGGGCUCCAGAGACAAGGAGGUUUCGCCCUGCAACUCCAACCCCAAGCAUGGACACAGAAACCAGUCCGCUGGCAAAGCAGAGUCCAGGCGAGAGUCUGGGGGACAAAGUGACACAGCAGCCAGUGUGGACAGUAGCCCCCAAGACAGCUGGACUGGACUUGUGCACCACGGACGUAAAAAGGGAUCCUCCACCCUGACACAGGGCUCGUCCCGGCUGAGCCAGCCAAGAGCGAGAGAUCACCGCCAGAGACGUGACGCGAUGGAGGAGGAAGAGAGCUCCCCCGUAGAGAGUGGCUCCUCUGAUCAAGAAGAGGAAGAAGAAGAAGGCAGUUAUGAUACUGAUGAAGGUCGAGACUACCGAGCCCAGCCCCGAAGAGAAGUCACCUCGAGCUCCUCCGUGACAGGUCCGAGUCCCUCAUCUGUUGUAAAACUGGAGGCCAACCAGAAAGCCAGGAACAAAAAACAGAGACAGGAGCUUUAUGGCUCACAGAGUCUGUCUGGAGCCGAAGGGGAGGUCAAAGUAAGGAAGAAGCCCCCCUGCAGGCUGGGCCUGGCCACUGCAGUCAAAAACCGCCGUGAAGAUCACCGGUCUGAGGGGGUGAGAAGGCCAUGUGGACCCAGGUCUAAAGAGCCUCGGUGGGGCAGUCUUGGGACCAGAGGCAACCGCUACCGGAGGAGCAUGGGACUGGCCACCUUCCCGACCACCAGUGAGAGACUAAAAAGGGCGACCCGCAAGAGCACCAUGUUGAGAGGAG